GAUGAACGCUGGCGGCGUGCCUAAUACAUGCAAGUCGAGCGAACAGACGAGGAGCUUGCUCCUCUGACGUUAGCGGCGGACGGGUGAGUAACACGUGGAUAACAUACCUAUAAGACUGGGAUAACUUCGGGAAACCGGAGCUAAUACCGGAUAAUAUAUUGAACCGCAUGGUUCAAUAGUGAAAGACGGUUUUGCUGUCACUUAUAGAUGGAUCCGCGCCGCAUUAGCUAGUUGGUAAGGUAACGGCUUACCAAGGCAACGAUGCGUAGCCGACCUGAGAGGGUGAUCGGCCACACUGGAACUGAGACACGGUCCAGACUCCUACGGGAGGCAGCAGUAGGGAAUCUUGCGCAAUGGGCGAAAGCCUGACGGAGCAACGCCGCGUGAGUGAUGAAGGUCUUCGGAUCGUAAAACUCUGUUAUUAGGGAAGAACAAAUGUGUAAGUAACUAUGCACGUCUUGACGGUACCUAAUCAGAAAGCCACGGCUAACUACGUG
RNAcentral lists this ribosomal RNA (497 nucleotides) under uncultured bacterium. RNAcentral's name for it is "partial 16S ribosomal RNA". It matches the Rfam family "Bacterial small subunit ribosomal RNA", at positions 28 to 507 of the family's 1533-position model. The record is from RNAcentral.